AAAAAUGAUAAACAAUUUGAUAUAUUACCCCAUAUAUUGUUAUUCAGCUAGUGGAGUUCUAGUGGGACUAACUAUAAUUCUGUGUCCUAAAGUUUCACUCCUGGACUGGGGGAGGACGAUAUUAAUGUCAAUGAUGACAGUCUGUAUAGCAGUGGGUUUUUGUUUCCUUGGACAAAUCAUAGAGAAUGCAUUUUGUAGUCUGAAGAAAAUUUUAACUGCGCUUACAGCACAAGAUGGUAUGCCUGGAACGUCAAAAAUAGAAAACUGCUCCUUUUUUUUCUUCAACAAACGCAGAGAAAAGCAGUUUUUUCGAGUUCUGGAAUAAUAACUAUUAAUUAUCGACUUCUGAUCGGACUUUUUCGAGCUGUUUACUCCAUAGCGAUGGUUUUUAUUAAUGUGUCGGCACAUUAUCACUGAAGAAACGAUACGAAAAAUGUAGACACGACUUCUGAUAUAGACUGGGGAAAUAUUUGAUAUAUAGUGACAGUGAUUUAAAUUAACUCAAAUUUUAUAAUAUGUACU
Long non-coding RNA from Zophobas morio, 522 nucleotides. RefSeq lists it as uncharacterized. NCBI's taxonomy places the organism in Eukaryota, Metazoa, Arthropoda, Insecta, Coleoptera, Tenebrionidae. The transcript has 4 exons. The record is from RefSeq and is a predicted model, not a curated record.